This 825-nucleotide unclassified non-coding RNA is filed under the name Hevea brasiliensis (rubber tree). The record is from RNAcentral. Lineage: Eukaryota; Viridiplantae; Streptophyta; Magnoliopsida; Malpighiales; Euphorbiaceae.
AUUGCAUCUAAUGUCGGAUUAACUCCAAGUCAAGGUAGAAUCAAUCUAAAAUUAUUCUCAACAAUCCAUAAUCAUUCCUAUAUCAUUUAACACAUAAUUAAAGGCAAUGAUAAUAUUAGAAAAAUGAAUUAUGGAUAAAAUAGACAAUGGAAACUUGCUUUGACUUAACCUAUUUUUCAUUAAUGCAAACUGACACCUUUGAAGCCCUAAACAAAACUCCAAUUAAACAUAUAAAACACUCAACAUUCAAUUUUGCUUCAAAUUGAUGUCGAAAUUGGCUUUGGGCGUCAAGAAUUGCAUUUUGGAGUUGCUGGGUUUUAGGCUUGCCAAAGCGCCACCACUAGAAAUUUGAGAAAAGCUACCAAUAGAAGCACGUCGAUGUCAAGAGAGCUGUGGAAGUGGUUGCCGGAGCAAAUAUGUUGUCGUCUGGCUCAACUGAAGCCAAAAUUACCGCCACUUAAUUUUCCGAUCUGUCGAAAAACUCCAUGAAAGUUGGUCGUGGAUAAAAUGUGGCGUUGAAAGGAGUCCUGUCGUGUGGUCGGUUUCAAAAAUGGAGGUUUGGUUCACCGAAAACAACGGAGGUCGGUUUCAAAAAUGGAGAAUACAUUGGUUCUCUAUCCACCGCCGCUGCUGUUCAGCCACUCAACACCCCCUUACACGCAUUCACCAAAGGCCAUGGAAGUAGUAAUGAUGGGUGGCCAGAGUUAGAAGUCACCAGAGCUAUCCAUCUCUCAUCUCAGCUCGUUCUUCCUCCCAUCUUUCAUAUUCUUUCUUUUAUUUUAGGGCAGUUGGUUUAACCUUUGGAUACGGCGAUAACCGUUAGGC